GACGAACGCUGGCGGCGUGCUUAACACAUGCAAGUCGAACGAUGAAGCCCAGCUUGCUGGGUGGAAGAGUGGCGAACGGGUGAGUAACACGUGAGUAACCUGCCCUGAACUCUGGGAUAAGCACUGGAAACGGUGUCUAAUACUGGAUACGACCUAUCACCGCAUGGUGUGUGGGUGGAAAGAUUUAUCGGUUUUGGAUGGACUCGCGGCCUAUCAGCUAGAUGGUGAGGUAAUGGCUCACCAUGGCGACGACGGGUAGCCGGCCUGAGAGGGUGACCGGCCACACUGGGACUGAGACACGGCCCAGACUCCUACGGGAGGCAGCAGUGGGGAAUAUUGCACAAUGGGCGCAAGCCUGAUGCAGCAACGCCGCGUGAGGGAUGACGGCCUCCGGGUUGUAAACCUCUUUUAGUAGGGAAGAAGCGAAAGUGACGGUACCUGCAGAAAAAGCACCGGCUAACUACGUGCCAGCAGCCGCGGUAAUACGUAGGGUGCAAGCGUUGUCCGGAAUUAUUGGGCGUAAAGAGCUCGUAGGCGGCUUGUCGCGUCUGCUGUGAAAUCCCGGGGCUCAACCCCGGGUCUGCAGUGGGUACGGGCAAGCUAGAGUGCGGUAGGGGA
Molecule: ribosomal RNA, 618 nt
Filed under: uncultured bacterium
Lineage: Bacteria
Description: bacterial SSU rRNA
Rfam family: Bacterial small subunit ribosomal RNA
Source: RNAcentral